This 274-nucleotide ribosomal RNA is filed under the name uncultured bacterium. RNAcentral's name for it is "partial 16S ribosomal RNA". It matches the Rfam family "Bacterial small subunit ribosomal RNA", at positions 523 to 796 of the family's 1533-position model. The record is from RNAcentral.
AUACGGGGGGAGCAAGCGUUUUCCGGAAUUACUAGGCGUAAAGGGCAAGUAGGCGGAGAUAUAAGUCAGGUGUUAAAUGCAUCGGCUCAACCGAUGUUGUGCAUUUGAUACUGUAUUUCUAGAGUGGGGUAGGAGAAGAUGGAAUUCCUGGUGUAGCGGUGGAAUGCGCAGAUAUCAGGAGGAACACCAGUGGCGAAGGCGAUCUUCUAUGCCUCAACUGACGCUAAAUUGCGAAGGUGUGGGUAUCAAACAGGAUUAGAAACCCCAGUAGUCC